RNAcentral lists this ribosomal RNA (493 nucleotides) under uncultured bacterium. RNAcentral's name for it is "bacterial SSU rRNA". It matches the Rfam family "Bacterial small subunit ribosomal RNA", at positions 15 to 507 of the family's 1533-position model. The record is from RNAcentral.
GAUCCUGGCUCAGAUUGAACGCUGGCGGAAUGCUUUACACAUGCAAGUCGAACGGUAGAGGGGGCAACCCCUUGAGAGUGGCGAACGGGUGAGUAAUAUAUCGGAACGUGCCCAGUCGUGGGGGAUAACGUAGCGAAAGUUACGCUAAUACCGCAUACGAUCUACGGAUGAAAGCGGGGGAUCGCAAGACCUCGCGCGAUUGGAGCGGCCGAUAUCAGAUUAGGUAGUUGGUGGGGUAAAGGCUCACCAAGCCAACGAUCUGUAGCUGGUCUGAGAGGACGACCAGCCACACUGGAACUGAGACACGGUCCAGACUCCUACGGGAGGCAGCAGUGGGGAAUUUUGGACAAUGGGGGCAACCCUGAUCCAGCCAUUCCGCGUGAGUGAAGAAGGCCUUCGGGUUGUAAAGCUCUUUCGCAAGGGAAGAAAACUUAUGAUCGAAUAAAUCAUGAGGUUGACGGUACCUUGAUAAGAAGCACCGGCUAACUACGUG